GGAUCAUUACCGAGUUGCAUAAACUCCAAAACCCUCUGUGAACCUUACCGUCGUUGCCUCGGCGUGAGCCGCGGCUACCCGGGAGCUACCCUGGAGGCGCUACCCUGUAGCGGCUCCCCGGGAGCUGCCCCGUAGCCGGCCCACGGCCCGCCGGAGGACCGCCGAACUCUUGCAUUUCUGACACUGUAUCUCUGAACGCGUAACUGAAACAAGUUAAAACUUUCAACAACGGAUCUCUUGGUUCUGGCAUCGAUGAAGAACGCAGCGAAAUGCGAUAAGUAAUGUGAAUUGCAGAAUUCAGUGAAUCAUCGAAUCUUUGAACGCACAUUGCGCCCGCUAGCAUUCUGGCGGGCAUGCCUAUUCGAGCGUCAUUUCGACCCUUAAGCCCCUGUUGCUUAGCGUUGGGAGUCUACGGCUGCGGCGUAGUUCCCGAAAGUCAGUGGCGGAGUUGGGGCACACCCUCGGCGUAGUAAGUUUUCCCUCGCCUGCGUGGUGGCCCCGGCUGCUGGCCGUUAAACGACCCUUAUAUCUUUCUAGUGGUUGGCCUCGAAUUAGGUAGGAAUACCCGCUGAACUUAAGCAUAUCAAUAAGCGGAGGAAAAGAAACCAACAGGGAUUGCCCUAGUAACGGCGAGUGAAGCGGCAACAGCUCAAAUUUGAAAUCUGGCCCUCGCGGUCCGAGUUGUAAUUUGUAGAGGAUGCUUUAGGCGCGGCGCCUUCCGAGUUCCCUGGAACGGGACGCCGGAGAGGGUGAGAGCCCCGUACGGUUGGACGCCUAGCCUGCGUAUAGCUCCUUCGACGAGUCGAGUAGUUUGGGAAUGCUGCUCUAAACGGGAGGUAAAUUUCUUCUAAAGCUAAAUACCGGCCAGAGACCGAUAGCGCACAAGUAGAGUGAUCGAAAGAUGAAAAGCACUUUGAAAAGAGGGUUAAAUAGCACGUGAAAUUGUUGAAAGGGAAG
RNAcentral lists this ribosomal RNA (957 nucleotides) under Hypoxylon sp. genotype 196. Its description in RNAcentral is "eukaryotic LSU rRNA". The stretch from base 542 to 957 matches the Rfam family "Eukaryotic large subunit ribosomal RNA", at positions 1 to 419 of the family's 3401-position model. Lineage: Eukaryota; Fungi; Ascomycota; Sordariomycetes; Xylariales; Hypoxylaceae. The record is from RNAcentral.